CGCUAUCACUCCUACGGGAGGCAGCAGUAGGGAAUCUUCCACAAUGGGCGCAAGCCUGAUGGAGCAACACCGCGUGAGUGAAGAAGGGUUUCGGCUCAUAAAGCUCUGUUGUUAAAGAAGAACACGUAUGAGAGUAACUGUUCAUACGUUGACGGUAUUUAACCAGAAAGUCACGGCUAACUACGUGCCAGCAGCCGCGGUAAUACGUAGGUGGCAAGCGUUAUCCGGAUUUAUUGGGCGUAAAGAGAGUGCAGGCGGUUUUCUAAGUCUGAUGUGAAAGCCUUCGGCUUAACCGGAGAAGUGCAUCGGAGACUGGAUAACUUGAGUGCAGAAGAGGGUAGUGGAACUCCAUGUGUAGCGGUGGAAUGCGUAGAUAUAUGGAAGAACACCAGUGGCGAAGGCGGCUACCUGGUCUGCAACUGACGCUGAGACUCGAAAGCAUGGGUAGCGAACAGGAUUAGAUACCCUGGUAG
This 473-nucleotide ribosomal RNA is filed under the name uncultured bacterium. RNAcentral's name for it is "bacterial SSU rRNA". It matches the Rfam family "Bacterial small subunit ribosomal RNA", at positions 328 to 793 of the family's 1533-position model. The record is from RNAcentral.